Mesocricetus auratus (golden hamster) is the source of this 1788-nucleotide long non-coding RNA. RefSeq lists it as uncharacterized. The record is from RefSeq and is a predicted model, not a curated record. Lineage: Eukaryota; Metazoa; Chordata; Mammalia; Rodentia; Cricetidae. The transcript has 4 exons.
ACGUAGGCGGUGAACUACGUCACUAGACAGGCCCACUUUUGGGUGUGGCUAGGGUCCUGUACAGAGGAAGGAAUAAAAGACUGUUAGCAGAACAUGUCGCCCUCUUUCCAGCUUCCAGUUCGGCGGUGGAAAAAUACUGGGCUCAUGUGGUGCGCUCCCUGACCAGCAGGAAAGACAAACACCAGACAAGGAUUCUUCCCAAAUCAUGCUUUAUUGGAGCCUCCUGGUUGAAGGGAGAGCAGGAAGCGAGAGACCCCGAGCAAAGACUGCAGCUGCUUAUAUAGGAACUAAGGCGACGUGCACUCGUCCUAUUGGUCGAGCACCUCCCCCCCCCCAGACAUUCCAGGCUUCCCGAUUGGUCUAGCAAGCUGAGGACAAUACGCAUGCUCGAGUUGGUGAUUCUGGUUAUGACCUUACAUGGAGUUGUUUACUCCAACCCUGCAGGGGCCCAGCGCCAUCUUGGAAUGGCGGCCACACAUCUCGGCUCCCUGCAGGCUCAUCUGGGUUGCUUGUUUUUCUCUUCUUUUCUGCAUGUCUACUCUAACACCCGUGAGGCGGCACUCUUCCGUAUCACAGAGCCUGGCCAGCAUCCUCUCUGCAUUUGCCAUUGUGUGUGAUGCUGUGGAAAUUCCGGCAAGGUCGUGGAAACACAGCAGCUUGCAGAGCACCUUCCGGCUCUAUGAAAAGUAGUUGGCAGAGAGGAAGCUGCUGGCGUGUUUCAGUUUGAUUUCUCUGUAUCACACAACCCAGAUGCAUGAUGAUCUCCGGUCAUAGGAUCACCUAGUUCCAGUAGAGUUCCAAUUACCACCCAAGAGCCUGAGCCAACCCCUCCUCUUCCUUAUAAGGGGUCACAUCUGCACACCUGAAGCCACGCCCAUAGGAUGAGGCCACCUCAGAAAACCCACCAGCAAAACAAGAUGCCACAACAAGGGAUAGAAACUGUGACAAUCAGCCGGGCAUUGGUGGCACAGUCCUUUAAAACCAGCACUUGGGAAGCAGAGGCAGCUGAUCUCUGUGAGUUCAAGGCCAGCUGGGUCUACAAGGCGAGUUCCAGGACAGGCUCCAAAGCCACAGAGAAACCCUGUCUCGAAAAAAGCAAAACAACAACAACAACAAAAACCGAUUACAAUCAGUCUCUGAGGGCUUCAUUUGCAAUGCAAAAGAAUUUCAGUUCUUUCAAAAAUAAAUACUUGUGUGCAAGAGUUAAUCAUUAACAAAAUCUCGUAAAGGAAAGCCAGGUUUCCAGAGGAGCUUACUAAACUCAUGACGGCACCUCUGGGAUGGGGCUAAGUUUGUCUUUCGUUGGAUGUCUGGGCCUUGAGGUUUGUGUUCAAGCUUUUGUUUUCCUUUUUCUAGUAAGACAGAGGUCAGAAGAGUUGCAAGGACCACAGCUACUCCACUUGUACAUUUGUUAGGUAGAACUGAGGUGUGAGUUGUACCCUCUGCUGGUCUGUUGUAACUCCUGGGCCCCAGCCCCUGCUAUAAAGACUCAAUUUAAAAAAAAAUCAGAGUGUCUUAACCAACAGAGGGCCCUAGACAGCCUAGGCAGUGAAGUGUGAGGCGACCAAGAAAGCUACAGUGGUCAUUUGGUAGCUGCCGUCUCCAGUUGGCCCGAAAAGCCCAUUUUCGGUUAAACGGAGGCUGCAGAUAGGUUGUUCCCCAUUGUAUGGAGAACUAAGGGGCCUUUGCCUGCAAGUGCGCUGAUGAAGGAUUUGUAUCCUCUAAAGGACUACAUUGCAGUAUCAUUUAUGUUGCAGUUUUGGACUCCAACCCUUUGUAGACACUUUC